AUUUGGCGACGCGUUCAGAGAACUUUUUAACCAAUAUAACAAAUCGAAAUAAAUUAAAAUUUAAUAAAAACCGGUAGCGGCUGAUAUUUGUUACCAAAUGAUAUAUGUUAACAAAGCGUUUGUGAAGUGAAAAGCGUGAUUCCAGUCUUCAACUUCGAAUCCAACCAAUAAUCGGGCGAACUUUCACUGAAGGCAGCGUUUAUAUAAUACAUUCAUACAUACACAAAUUUUUGUACCAGAAAUGAGCAGAAAGUCGGUGUUGAUAUAAACUCAAUCUAUCAACCACAGUACUGAAAAAAUAUACAUUUUUUCUACAACUAUUUGUAUAGAGCAAUACUAAAAGAAAUCUAAAAUUUGAAUUUAGCUUGAGUUAGUGUACAACUCUCAAAGAGUAUGUUCCAUCAGACAACUAGAACAACUACAACUGGAGUCAAACAAGUUAAAGAGCAAGCACAUCGAUAUAUUCCAAAUCACUCCAUUAGAGCAUAGUUAGAAUAUAUAUUAAAGAAAUUUAUUGACAACAACAA
This is a long non-coding RNA of Drosophila hydei, 527 nucleotides long. RefSeq lists it as uncharacterized. The transcript has 2 exons. NCBI's taxonomy places the organism in Eukaryota, Metazoa, Arthropoda, Insecta, Diptera, Drosophilidae. The record is from RefSeq and is a predicted model, not a curated record.